This 508-nucleotide ribosomal RNA is filed under the name uncultured bacterium. Its description in RNAcentral is "partial 16S ribosomal RNA". It matches the Rfam family "Bacterial small subunit ribosomal RNA", at positions 28 to 507 of the family's 1533-position model. The record is from RNAcentral.
GACGAACGCUGGCGGCGUGCCUAAUACAUGCAAGUCGAACGCUUCUUUCCUCCCGAGUGCUUGCACUCAAUUGGAAAGAGGCGUGGCGGACGGGUGAGUAACACGUGGGUAACCUACCCAUCAGAGGGGGAUAACACUUGGAAACAGGUGCUAAUACCGCAUAACAGUUUAUGCCGCAUGGCAUAAGAGUGAAGGGCGCUUUCGGGUGUCGCUGAUGGAUGGACCCGCGGUGCAUUAGCUAGUUGGUGAGGUAACGGCUCACCAAGGCCACGAUGCAUAGCCGACCUGAGAGGGUGAUCGGCCACACUGGGACUGAGACACGGCCCAGACUCCUACGGGAGGCAGCAGUAGGGAAUCUUCGGCAAUGGACGAAAGUCUGACCGAGCAACGCCGCGUGAGUGAAGAAGGUUUUCGGAUCGUAAAACUCUGUUGUUAGAGAAGAACAAGGACGUUAGUAACUGAACGUCCCCUGACGGUAUCUAACCAGAAAGCCACGGCUAACUACGUG